UAGAGUACGGUACGUACAGUGAUUUACCGUAAUACAGUAUGACACCGUAAAUUACGGAGAUUGUAUGGCAAAGUACCGUGAUUGUACAGUAAUUUACCGUUAUUGUACGGUAAGAUACCGUGAUUUUACGGUAAAAUACCGUAAUUGUUAGUAAAAUACUAUAAUUAUCCGGUAAAAAAAGUACUGUUUUUGUACGCUAAAGUACCAUAAUUGUACGGUAAUGUACUGUAAUUGUACGGUAACUUAUCGCUAAAAUAAGGUAUAUUUGACGGUAGGUUAGGGGCCAUUCAUUAAUUACGUAAGGACACUUUUGGUGACUUUUGACGCACCUCCUCU
Cotesia glomerata is the source of this 336-nucleotide long non-coding RNA. RefSeq lists it as uncharacterized. The record is from RefSeq and is a predicted model, not a curated record. Lineage: Eukaryota; Metazoa; Arthropoda; Insecta; Hymenoptera; Braconidae. The transcript is spliced from 3 exons.